UACGAAGGGGGCUAGCGUUGCUCGGAAUUACUGGGCGUAAAGGGCGCGUAGGCGGUGGGUUACGUCUGCCGUGAAAUCCCCGGGCUCAACCUGGGAAUGGCGGUGGAAACGGGCUGACUGGAGUAUGGGAGAGGGUGAUGGAAUUCCAGGUGUAGCGGUGAAAUGCGUAGAGAUCUGGAGGAACACCAGUGGCGAAGGCGGUCACCUGGCCCAAUACUGACGCUGAGGCGCGAAAGCGUGGGGAGCAAACAGG
Molecule: ribosomal RNA, 253 nt
Filed under: uncultured bacterium
Lineage: Bacteria
Description: partial 16S ribosomal RNA
Rfam family: Bacterial small subunit ribosomal RNA
Source: RNAcentral